This 504-nucleotide unclassified non-coding RNA is filed under the name Hevea brasiliensis (rubber tree). Lineage: Eukaryota; Viridiplantae; Streptophyta; Magnoliopsida; Malpighiales; Euphorbiaceae. The record is from RNAcentral.
GGAGAUUAUCCUCUUUCUGCUACCAUCAUGUCUGAGUACGCUAAUAAGAGAACGCGUGGAGCGUUUAUUGCUGCUGUUUUCGCUAUGCAAGGGGUUGGGAUCAUAUUUGCCGGCCUUGUUUCAAUGAUUGUAUCUAAAGUUUUCCUUAUGAAUUUUGGGGGUAAAGCGUUUUCUACUGAUGAAGUUUUCUCCACGGAGCCUGAGGCGGAUUAUGUCUGGCGGAUCGUCUUGAUGCUUGGAGCUCUUCCGGCUCUUCUUACCUAUUAUUGGCGAAUGAAGAUGCCUGAAACAGGGCGUUACACUGCCAUUAUUGAAGGAAAUGCUAAACAGGCGGCCAUUGAUAUGGGGAAGGUACUUGAUAUUGAAAUUCAAGCGGAAGGAGAAAAAUUAGCUAAAUUUAAAGCAGCUAAUGAGUACUCUUUACUCUCCAAUGAGUUCUUCAUGCGCCACGGACAUCACUUAAUUGGUACAAUGACUACUUGGUUCUUGUUGGACAUUGCUUUC